UACGAAGGGGGCUAGCGUUGUUCGGAAUCACUGGGCGUAAAGCGCACGUAGGCGGAUUGUUAAGUCGGGGGUGAAAUCCUGAGGCUCAACCUCAGAACUGCCUUCGAUACUGGCAAUCUCGAGUCCGGAAGAGGUUGGUGGAACAGCUAGUGUAGAGGUGAAAUUCGUAGAUAUUAGCUAGAACACCAGUGGCGAAGGCGGCCAACUGGUCCGGAACUGACGCUGAGGUGCGAAAGCGUGGGGAGCAAACAGG
This 253-nucleotide ribosomal RNA is filed under the name uncultured bacterium. RNAcentral's name for it is "partial 16S ribosomal RNA". It matches the Rfam family "Bacterial small subunit ribosomal RNA", at positions 524 to 776 of the family's 1533-position model. The record is from RNAcentral.